RNAcentral lists this ribosomal RNA (468 nucleotides) under uncultured bacterium. RNAcentral's name for it is "partial 16S ribosomal RNA". It matches the Rfam family "Bacterial small subunit ribosomal RNA", at positions 28 to 507 of the family's 1533-position model. The record is from RNAcentral.
GACGAACGCUGGCGGCGUGCUUAACACAUGCAAGUCGAACGGAAAGGCCCUGCUUUUGUGGGGUGCUCGAGUGGCGAACGGGUGAGUAACACGUGAGUAACCUGCCCUUGACUUUGGGAUAACUUCAGGAAACUGGGGCUAAUACCGGAUAGGAGCUCCUGCUGCAUGGUGGGGGUUGGAAAGUUUCGGCGGUUGGGGAUGGACUCGCGGCUUAUCAGCUUGUUGGUGGGGUAGUGGCUUACCAAGGCUUUGACGGGUAGCCGGCCUGAGAGGGUGACCGGCCACAUUGGGACUGAGAUACGGCCCAGACUCCUACGGGAGGCAGCAGUGGGGAAUAUUGCACAAUGGGCGGAAGCCUGAUGCAGCGACGCCGCGUGCGGGAUGACGGCCUUCGGGUUGUAAACCGCUUUCGCCUGUGGCGAAGCGUGAGUGACGGUAAUGGGUAAAGAAGCACCGGCUAACUACGUG